Molecule: ribosomal RNA, 449 nt
Filed under: uncultured bacterium
Lineage: Bacteria
Description: SSU rRNA
Rfam family: Bacterial small subunit ribosomal RNA
Source: RNAcentral
AGGAUGAACGCUGGCGGCGUGCCUAACACAUGCAAGUCGAACGAAGCCUUCGGGCUUAGUGGCGGACGGGUGAGUAACACGUUAGUACCUACCCUUUAGUGGGGAAUAACUCGGCGAAAGUCGGGCUAAUACCGCAUACGAUCCUUCGGGAUGAAAGCAUUUAUGCGCUAAAGGAGGGGCUUGCGUCUGAUUAGCUAGUUGGCGGGGUAAAUGCCCACCAAGGCAAUGAUCAGUAGCUGGUUCGAGAGGAUGACCAGCCACACUGGGACUGAGAUACGGCCCAGACUCCUACGGGAGGCAGCAGUGAGGAAUCUUCCGCAAUGGACGAAAGUCUGACGGAGCAACGCCGCGUGCAGGAUGACGGCCUUCGGGUUGUAAACUGCUUUAUUUGGGAAGAUUGUGACGGUACCAAAUGAAUAAGGACCGGCUAACUACGUGCCAGCAGCCGC